RNAcentral lists this ribosomal RNA (605 nucleotides) under Lactarius uvidus. RNAcentral describes it as "partial small subunit ribosomal RNA". It matches the Rfam family "Bacterial small subunit ribosomal RNA", at positions 344 to 970 of the family's 1533-position model. Lineage: Eukaryota; Fungi; Basidiomycota; Agaricomycetes; Russulales; Russulaceae. The record is from RNAcentral.
UCCUUCAGCAGUCAAGAAUAUUAGUCAAUGCUCGAAAGAGUGAACUAGCUAACUGAAAUCAAUUAUAAUAAUUGAUAACAUAAGGGAAAAUAAUGAUAUUACCUUAUUAUUAGUGUCGUCCAAAUCUGGUGCCAGAAGACUCGGUAAGGCCAGAGACACAAACGUUAAUCGUCUUAAUCAGGCGUAAAGGGUUUGUAGGCGGCUUUUAAACUUACUUAUUAAAAUAAAUUAAAUAAUUAAAUAAUUAAAUUAAAAAUAAGUACAAAAUAAAAGCUAGAAUCAAAUAGAGGAUAAAUUAAAUAAUGCUUAGAGUAGGUCUGAUAUCCUUAGAUACUAAGUAGAAUAUUAAAGGCGAAAGCUUUUUUUCCAUUAAUGAUUGACGCUCAGAAACGAAGGUGAGGAUAGGAAAUAGGAUUAGAUACCCAAAAUACCCCUCUCUGUCAACGAUGAAUGGUAGUUAUUAGUAAUAAAUUAUUAAUGGCAAUGUUAACACGAUAACCAUUCCGCCUUGUGAGUACGACUGCAAAGUUGAAAACAAAAAAAUUAGUCGGUUUCGGAGCAAACGAAGUGAAGCAUGUUAUUUAAUUCAAUAAAUCCGCAAAGGU